Gossypium arboreum is the source of this 272-nucleotide long non-coding RNA. RefSeq lists it as uncharacterized. Lineage: Eukaryota; Viridiplantae; Streptophyta; Magnoliopsida; Malvales; Malvaceae. The transcript is spliced from 2 exons. The record is from RefSeq and is a predicted model, not a curated record.
AUCUUUUUCAUGGAGGCCGAAAUUAGCAUGAGGGAAGCCAUGGCUAGGGUUUUCAAGCUUUCCAAGCUCAAUAUGUCGCAGAUGUUAGCUCGAGUUGGAGGUCGCCGGAAGUUAAAUCACACUAUCAAACUAUUGAUCGAUAUAUAAAGGUUUUUGUAAAACCCCUUACCCGUAUUCAUUGCCGGAAUAGGGUACAAGGCAUUACUGGAGUUUGCUGAACAUUUUCAGAUAAUUUUGAGUCAUUUAUUAUUCAUAUUUUGAAAUAAUCAUAA